AUGAAAAAGUCCAGUCAAAGGCACCCUUGCAAGAGGCGCUGCUUUCUGUCACGGGAUGGUUCAGAGUUGGGGAGGGAGGCCGCAGUUGAACAGCAGACCCUUACUCUGUUUGCUAGUCUCUGGGCCUGGGGCCCGGAACCCAGGACGAGGGUGAGAAGUUGGGGAGAGGGCGCGCUCCCAGUGCGUGGCUGGGUCGCGCUGCCAGCUGCCUGGUGGCGGCAGGGUGAACCCGGCUACGCGCGCCGGGUGACCAAAGCUCCGCCCCCAGCUCUAGUCUCUCGCUGAUUGACGCGCAGCCGCGGGGAAACAGCAGCGCAGAGAUUGAGCCCAGGACCCCUAGACUCUCCACGGUGGUCCACACUGUCUGCAGCGCACCGAGGGACUAUGCUCGGAGUUCAGCUGCUCAUAUCUUGUACUAGAAAAAAAUGAAUAUUGACAACAAGGGCUCGGCAUCUGCACGGGAAAGAAAGUACCACUUAACAACAACAACAACAACAACAAAAAUCCUAGCCCGGCCGCUGUGCAGUCGGCGGAGCUUGCUGCUCUAGGUUGUUAGUGGCAGAGUUCGGGACCUAGUAAUCCGCCGGCAGAGGAAGGGGGCCGCGGAAUUAAAACGAACAAAAGCUAGAGCGCCAUGCCAAACAUCCCCAACGCGACCCAGUUAGGCAGGAGCCAAGAGGAGUGGUGGGGAAAUAAACGAGAAGUAAGUUGAAAAU
This 716-nucleotide long non-coding RNA is filed under the name Mus pahari (shrew mouse). RNAcentral describes it as "lncRNA (MGP_PahariEiJ_G0005529.1)". Lineage: Eukaryota; Metazoa; Chordata; Mammalia; Rodentia; Muridae. The record is from RNAcentral.